UACGUAGGGUGCAAGCGUUAUCCAGAUUUACUGGGCGUAAAGCGCGCGCAGGCGGAUGAUUAAGUCAAUUGUGAAAGCCCCCGGCUCAACUGGGGAGGGUCGAUUGAAACUGGUCGUCUGGAGGGCAACAGAGGAGUGUAGAAUUGCGGGUGUAGUGGUGAAAUGCGUAGAUAUCCGCAGGAAUACCGAUGGCGAAGGCAGCACUCUGGGUUGUACCUGACGCUGAGGCGCGAAGGCUAGGGGAGCGAACAGG
This 253-nucleotide ribosomal RNA is filed under the name uncultured prokaryote. RNAcentral's name for it is "partial 16S ribosomal RNA". It matches the Rfam family "Bacterial small subunit ribosomal RNA", at positions 524 to 776 of the family's 1533-position model. The record is from RNAcentral.